GGGACUAUAACUUCAAGCGACUCGAAAAUUAGACCGCGCACAAAUCUUUAGGACUGGCAACCUUGGAUAUUGAAAUUCGAGUUACUAUUCACUGCACUAUUCAAAUUAGGAAUAUAGACAAUCCAUCGAACGCUAAAUAAUUGUGAUAACUCCUACUAGCUUCCUUUUGAACCAUGAGACAUUAUCUACUCGAGGAUUAUUUUUCUUGAAAAAGAUAAAUCUCCGACCUCUACAACUGCACAAAGCUAUUUCAAGGGUCAAUUGUCAGCAACAAGAAAACCUAAACAGAACACACCUAAUAAGCUUGAUAUAAAAUUUGUGUAACCAUCAAGGCAAAGUCUUCCGGUUGAGGCAAAACUUUCC
This 363-nucleotide long non-coding RNA is filed under the name Setaria viridis. RNAcentral describes it as "long non-coding RNA (SVIR_LNC005723)". The record is from RNAcentral. Lineage: Eukaryota; Viridiplantae; Streptophyta; Magnoliopsida; Poales; Poaceae.